AACAUAGUGGCACCGGUUAGCAUAGAGUGGUUUCAAAUCCUAUAAAGGGAAACACCAAACCAAAAGGGUUUUGGCUUUGUAAAGUAAAACAUCAAGAACCCUGUUUGCUAAUAUAAGAUUUGAAAACACACACACACACACACACACACACACACACACACACACACACACACACACAGAGAGAGAGAGAGAGAGAGAGAGAGAGAGAGAGAGAGAGAGAGAAGUAGUUUAGGCUAAAUUCUAAAACCUAUCUACUGGGGGCCUGAGAAUAUAUGGAUCAGGCAAGAUAAUUCUAAUAACUGCUUUCUGUUGAACUACUUCAGUUAAUGAGAAACCAGGAAGAUUGAUUGAAAAAUGAGUCUCUUAAAAUUUCCUCCUUGUUUUUUAUUUCCUUCUAGGCUUUGUCUCCUUGCAGACAGUCCCUAGGGAGCAAGAUCCAAAACUCCAGGUUAUUGCAAUAUUGCACUUCUAAAUAGAGAGAGCAUGGCUUUAACUAUGAAGUCUCAUUAUCACCUGGGGACUAGAUAAGGGCUGGCUGAUUUGUGCUCCCUGCUGUUAUUUCCAUGCCUUUUCAAAAGGAAGAGGCAAAGAAAUCAGUGGCUAGAGGAUGGGCAGCUACUUAAUUGGCUGUAGAUUUUAGCUCAACUCGACUACAAGCCAUUUUCACUCUCCUACACAGAUAGGUAAAGCCAGAAAACUCAAAAAGGUACUUCUAGAGCAAAAGAGAGGGGAAAAAAUUAAUGUGGAGAUCAAGGACAGUUGAUUUACUCUGCUCACUUUCGAAUGAAACUCUCUCUCAGGCAUGAGUGUAAGAAAGAAGAGACAAGUCAGAUAUGCCUGGAAACUUGUAACUCGUAACCAAAAAAAUGCUGUCAUUUGCACAACUGACACUAAGCAUCCCUGUGUAGUAGGGGGUCUUGGGUCAAAGUCACAUUAGCCUAAGACACUGGUUUAUGCAAAAUGGCCUUAGGGGCUUAGUUCAAAGUGCCCAGGCAGAAAGGAUUUAUCUUUUGCCUUUCCCCUUCUGCCUCAUUUCCAAUCCUGAUGGUUACUUCCCCUGUACCUGUGAUAUAGGAUCCCCAUACUUGGCAUUGAGUGCCUCUUGCCUUCCAUUCUGUGACCCCAUCAAUGACCUUGGACUUUCCAUUAGCUCAUGCUCCAUAAUUUUCUUCGCUGUUCAGUGUUACAAAAGUGCAUUGCUGUUAACUCGGGCUGGAGUCAGACUAGAAAGGAAGGAGGACUCUCGUGCUCAUAACUGGGAGGACUUAGUUUCUACGUUGGAGUAACAAUAUAUUUGUUAUUACUGUGCUCAAGGUUUGACCAAAGUGCAGGUCAUAGCCCUUUAUGACCUGGUUUUCCCAUUCAGCUUAAACGAAGACAGGGAUGCAGGUUGAUUGCCCACUUACUAUGUCUGGCUGCUAUUCUACACAUAAUCCCCAGAAGAAGGGCAAGAACAGGCAACUCAGGGGUGAGCAGAGGUCCCUGAACCUGAGUUUGCAACCUCUUUAGCUUGAAGGACUGCCAACCUUGGCAAGAAGGAAUGGAAAAGGGCACUGCUAUAUAUUAGAUGACUGCUGUGCACCAAGCCCUUUUAGGAUAUGUUCUUGCCUAUUAGUUUCACUUUAUUUCUAACCCUGAAAGGUAAAUUUCUAUUAUAGACACUUGGGGGAGAGAGAAGUUAUGACACAACAGAGUAAAAAUGACAGAGACAGAGAGACAGAGAGAAACCAAGGCUGCAGGGGAGUGUGGCCUGACUUCCAAGACAGCUAGUGGAUCUGUGAUUUAACAGCAACAUGAUACCAUCAAAAUCUACAAAAUAUACUAUCACAAGUACAACUCACCAACUAUAAAAUUCACAAAGGGGCUUAGGGGUGACUAGGUUGUUGUGGUAGUUAAUAAUGAUUACUAACUUGACAAGAUCUGGGGUCACCCCUGAGAUAAGCCUCCAGGCAUAUCUGUGAGAAAUCAUUUAGGGUAGCAUAUGAUCAUGCCUGUGAGUGAUGAUCUUGGUUAGGUUAAAUGGUGCAAGAAGACCCACCCUGAAGGACCAGAGGCAGCAGCAUCUCCUGUGCUGGGUCCUGCACUGAAAAAAAAAGUAGAAAGGAAGCAGAGAACCAGCAUUUCUCCUUCCUGCUUUCUUACUACAGAUGCAAUAUCACCAUAGCUUCAGGUUCCUGCCACCAUGACUUCCCUGCCAUGUACCCUACCUGUGCCCUCAAACUGUGAGCAAAACUAAACCCAUCCAUAAGUUGCAAUUGUCACAGCAUUACUACAGCAACAGGAAAAGUAGCUAAAACUGUGAUCAUCACAGAGAACUUCCCAAUAAAUAGAGGCUGGGAAUUUAUUCACCAUUGCCUUCGAUUGAAGCCAAUGAUCUAAAAUAUUGGGCCCAUAAGAGAAAUACAAGUCAAAACCAUAAUACGGUACUGCCUCACGCUCAGGAGCACAAUCAGAUAAUAAUGGAAAUUGGUGAAGCAGUGAAGAAAUCAGAAUCCUAACACACGGAUGGUGAGUAUAACACAGCGCAGCCAUUUUGGAAAACAGUCAGGCAGUUCUUCAAACAAUUAAACACAGUUAUCAUAUAUCCUAGCAGUUCCACUCCCAAGCAGAAAAGAAAUGAGAAUGUAAAUAUGCCCAUUCAGAAACAUGUGCUCAAAUGUGAACUGCAUCAUUGUAUACAAUUGUAAAAUGGAAGAAACAACCCAAAUGUCCAUCAACUGGUGAAUGGACAAACAAAAUGUGGUAUAUUUAUAUAGUGUAGCAUUAGUACACCAGAAAAAGGAAUGAAGCACUGAUCCACAAAAACAUUAUACUAAAUAAAAGGAGUCAAUCAUAGGUUCCACAUUUAGAGUUCCUUUAGUAUGAAAUGUUUAAUAUAGGAAUAUGUAUGAUGGUGAAAGUAUAUUAGAUGUUGCUUAGAGUUGGGGAGGAUGAAGAGACAGGCUAUAACAGACAAAGGAUAUAAGGAUUCUUUUUGAUAUGAAAAAAAUCUAAAACUGUUGUCUCCAUGCAACUGUGAAUAUACUAAAAAAAAUUAAACAUUAUGAGUGGAAGAAAAAAGAAGAAAAAGAAGUCAUUUUAGCUCAUGAUGCCAUCAAAAUCUAUGGCAGGCUUCAGAGCCACUAGGCCUAUGUUACCAUGGAAACUCUCAGAGUGAGUACUGCUUGUCAAAUGGGGAUAAUGAUGCCUGCCCUAGUUAUCUCACAGGAUUGUUAUAGGUCUCACAUGAGGUAAUAGAUGUGAGGACACACUGAAAAGCUAAAUGUAAUACAUAAAAACAAUUAGUGUUACUAGCAUGUUUCCUAUUGAAUGCAAAAUAGCAUGCACACUACAAAAAAAACAUGUAUAUAUUCGGAAAGUAAUAUGCCAGGACCACAAUAAUUGCUAUGUUAGGGGACAGAAUUGUAACCAUUGUAAGUUACUGAUAUAUCAUUUAGGAAUAAAAAACAAAACAAAAACCAGGUGGAUAAAAGAUGGCACCGCUCAGCUGAAGUCAGAAUAUAGAAAUCUGAUGAAUGGGAUAAAAUGUAUAUUUCAGAAAAAAUAAAUAAGAGAAAGGGCAUCUCUCUCCCAUACCUUAUUUUUCUCCCUACCUAGAUUAUUUCCUAAGCUACUAUUUCAGAGGUAGGUUAGAUGAUAAUACUAACGCUAUGAUCUCCUUUGAUCUUGCCAAAUAAGGGGCUGACUCUUCUGUCUGGAAGAGGACUCCAAGAAGGAGCUUCACUAAAAAUAAUGUCUUCCUGAUGCACAUCUACUCACAUCCUUGACCCCGCUCCAAAUGACCUUAAAUUAACAACGAGCCCAUGACUAAAGUGCAACAACAUGCCUUGUGACCCACAGAAAAAUUUGGGUAAGCUCAGAAAUUCAUUCUGUGAGAACCGAAUGAAGAAGCUUGCUGGUAUCGAGUAUGCUGUCCAUGGAGGAAUUCGACUGCAUAGCCCUUCCAUCCUCAGAUUCAGAAAAAUGUUGGACCUUGGACAUCAUGUAAUCCAACCCUGUAUUUUACUUUUGUGGAAACGGAGGCACGGUGAGGGGAACAGUGUCCCCAGUGUCUCUACUAUGAGUCUAUGAAAGAACUGAUGAUGCCCACCA
Molecule: long non-coding RNA, 4092 nt
Organism: Mus musculus (house mouse)
Lineage: Eukaryota; Metazoa; Chordata; Mammalia; Rodentia; Muridae
Product: predicted gene, 39507
Exons: 2
Source: RefSeq, a predicted model, not a curated record